This 2758-nucleotide ribosomal RNA is filed under the name Klebsiella pneumoniae. RNAcentral's name for it is "bacterial LSU rRNA". It matches the Rfam family "Bacterial large subunit ribosomal RNA". The record is from RNAcentral. Lineage: Bacteria; Pseudomonadati; Pseudomonadota; Gammaproteobacteria; Enterobacterales; Enterobacteriaceae.
CACUAUCGUUAACUGAAUACAUAGGUUAACGAGGCGAACCGGGGGAACUGAAACAUCUAAGUACCCCGAGGAAAAGAAAUCAACCGAGAUUCCCCCAGUAGCGGCGAGCGAACGGGGAGCAGCCCAGAGUCUGAAUCAGCUUGUGUGUUAGUGGAACGGUCUGGAAAGUCCGACGGUACAGGGUGAUAGUCCCGUACACCAAAAUGCACAGGUUGUGAACUCGAAGAGUAGGGCGGGACACGUGGUAUCCUGUCUGAAUAUGGGGGGACCAUCCUCCAAGGCUAAAUACUCCUGACUGACCGAUAGUGAACCAGUACCGUGAGGGAAAGGCGAAAAGAACCCCGGCGAGGGGAGUGAAAAAGAACCUGAAACCGUGUACGUACAAGCAGUGGGAGCACCUUCGGGUGUGACUGCGUACCUUUUGUAUAAUGGGUCAGCGACUUAUAUUCUGUAGCAAGGUUAACCGUAUAGGGGAGCCGCAGGGAAACCGAGUCUUAACUGGGCGUUAAGUUGCAGGGUAUAGACCCGAAACCCGGUGAUCUAGCCAUGGGCAGGUUGAAGGUUGGGUAACACUAACUGGAGGACCGAACCGACUAAUGUUGAAAAAUUAGCGGAUGACUUGUGGCUGGGGGUGAAAGGCCAAUCAAACCGGGAGAUAGCUGGUUCUCCCCGAAAGCUAUUUAGGUAGCGCCUCGUGAACUCAUCUUCGGGGGUAGAGCACUGUUUCGGCUAGGGGGUCAUCCCGACUUACCAACCCGAUGCAAACUACGAAUACCGAAGAAUGUUAUCACGGGAGACACACGGCGGGUGCUAACGUCCGUCGUGAAGAGGGAAACAACCCAGACCGCCAGCUAAGGUCCCAAAGUCAUGGUUAAGUGGGAAACGAUGUGGGAAGGCACAGACAGCCAGGAUGUUGGCUUAGAAGCAGCCAUCAUUUAAAGAAAGCGUAAUAGCUCACUGGUCGAGUCGGCCUGCGCGGAAGAUGUAACGGGGCUAAACCAUGCACCGAAGCUGCGGCAGCGACACUAUGUGUUGUUGGGUAGGGGAGCGUUCUGUAAGCCUGCGAAGGUGUGCUGUGAGGCAUGCUGGAGGUAUCAGAAGUGCGAAUGCUGACAUAAGUAACGAUAAAGCGGGUGAAAAGCCCGCUCGCCGGAAGACCAAGGGUUCCUGUCCAACGUUAAUCGGGGCAGGGUGAGUCGACCCCUAAGGCGAGGCCGAAAGGCGUAGUCGAUGGGAAACAGGUUAAUAUUCCUGUACUUGGUGUUACUGCGAAGGGGGGACGGAGAAGGCUAUGUUAGCCGGGCGACGGUUGUCCCGGUUUAAGCAUGUAGGCUGAUUGUCCAGGCAAAUCCGGAUAAUCAAGGCUGAGGUGUGAUGACGAGGCACUACGGUGCUGAAGUAACAAAUGCCCUGCUUCCAGGAAAAGCCUCUAAGCAUCAGGUAACAUUAAAUCGUACCCCAAACCGACACAGGUGGUCAGGUAGAGAAUACCAAGGCGCUUGAGAGAACUCGGGUGAAGGAACUAGGCAAAAUGGUGCCGUAACUUCGGGAGAAGGCACGCUGGUGUGUAGGUGAAGUCCCUGCGGAUGGAGCUGAGACCAGUCGAAGAUACCAGCUGGCUGCAACUGUUUAUUAAAAACACAGCACUGUGCAAACACGAAAGUGGACGUAUACGGUGUGACGCCUGCCCGGUGCCGGAAGGUUAAUUGAUGGGGUUAUCCGUAAGGAGAAGCUCUUGAUCGAAGCCCCGGUAAACGGCGGCCGUAACUAUAACGGUCCUAAGGUAGCGAAAUUCCUUGUCGGGUAAGUUCCGACCUGCACGAAUGGCGUAAUGAUGGCCAGGCUGUCUCCACCCGAGACUCAGUGAAAUUGAACUCGCUGUGAAGAUGCAGUGUACCCGCGGCAAGACGGAAAGACCCCGUGAACCUUUACUAUAGCUUGACACUGAACAUUGAGCCUUGAUGUGUAGGAUAGGUGGGAGGCUUUGAAGCGUGGACGCCAGUCUGCGUGGAGCCAACCUUGAAAUACCACCCUUUAAUGUUUGAUGUUCUAACGUUGGCCCCUGACCGGGGUUGCGGACAGUGUCUGGUGGGUAGUUUGACUGGGGCGGUCUCCUCCCAAAGCGUAACGGAGGAGCACGAAGGUUAGCUAAUCCUGGUCGGACAUCAGGAGGUUAGUGCAAUGGCAUAAGCUAGCUUGACUGCGAGCGUGACGGCGCGAGCAGGUGCGAAAGCAGGUCAUAGUGAUCCGGUGGUUCUGAAUGGAAGGGCCAUCGCUCAACGGAUAAAAGGUACUCCGGGGAUAACAGGCUGAUACCGCCCAAGAGUUCAUAUCGACGGCGGUGUUUGGCACCUCGAUGUCGGCUCAUCACAUCCUGGGGCUGAAGUAGGUCCCAAGGGUAUGGCUGUUCGCCAUUUAAAGUGGUACGCGAGCUGGGUUUAGAACGUCGUGAGACAGUUCGGUCCCUAUCUGCCGUGGGCGCUGGAGAAUUGAGGGGGGCUGCUCCUAGUACGAGAGGACCGGAGUGGACGCAUCACUGGUGUUCGGGUUGUCAUGCCAAUGGCACUGCCCGGUAGCUAAAUGCGGAAGAGAUAAGUGCUGAAAGCAUCUAAGCACGAAACUUGCCCCGAGAUGAGUUCUCCCUGAGACUUUAAGUCUCCUGAAGGAACGUUAAAGACGAUGACGUUGAUAGGCCGGGUGUGUAAGCGCAGCGAUGCGUUGAGCUAACCGGUACUAAUGAACCGUGAGGCUUAACCUU